Silurus meridionalis is the source of this 2178-nucleotide long non-coding RNA. RefSeq lists it as uncharacterized. The record is from RefSeq and is a predicted model, not a curated record. The transcript has 3 exons. NCBI's taxonomy places the organism in Eukaryota, Metazoa, Chordata, Actinopteri, Siluriformes, Siluridae.
UGUCUGUCUGGUAGGAAUCAUUAGACUGGAAUGGUACACAACCUACAUCAUCAGUUCUGGGAGUGAGAAUGCCUUUUUGAUGAGAGAGGUCAGAGGUCAGAGGUCAGACCUGUUUGAGUUGACAGAAAAGCUCCGAUAGCUCAAAUAUUCACUCUUUAUAUUCGCAGAGAGCAGAAAAGCAUGUUGUUUCUGCUGUCUGACGCUGAAUGUGAAUAAAAGUUGUCCCUAUUAAUGUGGCCGAUGACAAGAGAGAUACCUACAGGCAUAUAAAAUACAUACAUAGACAUAUGGUAUUAGUUAGAUGCAUGUCACAGGCAACACACACACACACACACACACACACACACACACACACACACACACACACACACACACACAGAGUUCAGCCGAUUUAUCAUAAUGUGCUUUAUCUGAAAAGUAAGUAUCUUACCUCGGGAUAAAGAGAGGAAACAGCGAUUUGGACUCAGAUUGACAGCAGAGGACAGGAUAGACAGAACGAGGCAGUUGCUCAGAGAGAGAGAAGGAUUGAUAAUGAAAGAGAGAGGAAAAAAGAGAGUUUAUUCUAUGAAAAGCACAAACGUUCUCGCCUGAGGUUUGAGCAGGGACAAUAUGCAGCGACUCUCAUGAUCAGAUUAUUGAUCUAUGAAUAGCCGUGAAUGGACAGAUCACAGAUGGAUGGAUCGAUAGAGAAAUGAUAGGGAAAAGAAGAAUCUGGUGGAGGGCAGAAAUACAUAAAACAGGCACCAGAAGACUUGUUCAGGUGGACAGGAAAAUAAAGAUGAAGAUGGACAUCUACUCAGGAGCAAUCAAACAAGCAGACUGAAGCCAAGAUUCAUCCUUCGACAUGUAGAUAUAGUUAAAUAUGGUGUUAAACCCAACUGCACUCUCUCACACAGACCAACACCCCCACCCACCACCACCACCACAGACACACACACACACACACACACACACACACACACACACACACACACACACACUCACAAUGGUCCUCUGAUACUUAAUUGGCUCUGUAAUCUUAUGGAAUGUGUCUUAUUAGCACACACUGGUGAACAAGCUCUUACCCAACCACACAAUAGAGCUCUGUUACACACACACACACACACACACACACACACACACACACACACACACACACACUGCAAAAGCAUUGUGUGGCAUGAAAUCAUAAAAUUAACAUUCUCUUAUAGUUUGUCAUCACACACACACACACACACACACACACACUAAUACUACUACUAAUAAUAAUAAUAAUAACAAUAAUAAUAUUAAUAAUAAUAAUAAUAAUAAUAAUAAUAAUUCAUAUUAAAUGUUAAAAUUUAAACUAGCAUUAUAGCAAACAGGCUAAUGCUCCAACAAACUAGCAGUGAACGGUGUAACAUUUAAAUGUGUGUGUGUGUGUGUGUGUGUGUGUGUGUGUGUGUGUGUGUGUGUGUGUGUGUGAUUAAGAUUGACAGAGCGCUGGGUGGCAGAUUUCUCCAACCCGUUUUAGACGGACUAAUCUGGUUUAGCAAACAACAGUGUGUCAGCAGUGAUAUAGUUCCAUCCCUCCACACACACACACACACACACACACACACACACACACACACACACACACACACACACCUCAGUACUAAGAAAGAAGUUAAUAAUAUGCAUAAUUGCAACAAUCACACGCUACAAUAAAGUACAGACUUUAUUCUCAUUUUGUUUCUUAUUUUUUUGUUUCCGUAGCAACCAGAUACUCGAUAUCGAACCUGAAACCAGGAAGUUGUAAUAACCAAUCAAUGACACAAACACUAUGAGACACGUUUUAUAAUUGUCUGGCUACCUGUCUGCUAACUGAUACAUUCUGAGGGACGUCUGACCGAUGAGGACACAGGAGACAUCAUUGAGACACGGUUUCAGUCAUGUAAAUGAGACCCAAACUAUGUUCCAAGGACCCAUGAAGAUCUGCUUUCCAUGGGUUUGAUGGAAGAUCUCCUGCUAUAGAGCUCUAUAACCCUGUAGACCACCUGAGGGAUGAAAGUGAAUGCUGACUGCACCUCAGACCUCCUUCACCCCACACAAACCCCCACCUGAAGUUCUGAAAUAAUAUCAUUGCAUAUUUAUUGUACGGUAAAAGUUCAGAAUCCAAUCGAAUUUAAUCAGAUUUUGUAGCAUCAGACACAAUAAAGUUUAUUUUACCUUAACCAA